UAUAAAUACGUUCAUUGAGAU
RNAcentral lists this non-coding RNA (21 nucleotides) under Caenorhabditis elegans. The record is from RNAcentral. Lineage: Eukaryota; Metazoa; Nematoda; Chromadorea; Rhabditida; Rhabditidae.